Pongo abelii (Sumatran orangutan) is the source of this 147-nucleotide unclassified non-coding RNA. It matches the Rfam family "Metazoan signal recognition particle RNA". Rfam says of the family: The signal recognition particle (SRP) is a universally conserved ribonucleoprotein. It is involved in the co-translational targeting of proteins to membranes. The record is from Ensembl. NCBI's taxonomy places the organism in Eukaryota, Metazoa, Chordata, Mammalia, Primates, Hominidae.
GCCGGGUAUAGUGGCGGGUGCCUGUAAUCCCAGUUACUGGGGAGGCUGAGGCAGGAGAAUCGCUUGAACCCAAGAAGUGGAGGUUGCAGUGAGCCAAGAUUGUGCCACUGCACUCCACCUGGGGUACAGAGCAAGACCCUGUCUCUA